RNAcentral lists this ribosomal RNA (468 nucleotides) under uncultured bacterium. Its description in RNAcentral is "partial 16S ribosomal RNA". It matches the Rfam family "Bacterial small subunit ribosomal RNA", at positions 28 to 507 of the family's 1533-position model. The record is from RNAcentral.
GACGAACGCUGGCGGCGUGCUUAACACAUGCAAGUCGAACGGAAAGGCCCUGCUUUUGUGGGGUGCUCGAGUGGCGAACGGGUGAGUAACACGUGAGUAACCUGCCCUUGACUUUGGGAUAACUUCAGGAAACUGGGGCUAAUACCGGAUAGGAGCUCCUGCUGCAUGGUGGGGGUUGGAAAGUUUCGGCGGUUGGGGAUGGACUCGCGGCUUAUCAGCUUGUUGGUGGGGUAGUGGCUUACCAAGGCUUCGACGGGUAGCCGGCCUGAGAGGGUGACCGGCCACAUUGGGACUGAGGUACGGCGCAGACUCCUACGGGAGGCAGCAGUGGGGAAUAUUACACAAUGGGCGGAAGCCUGAUGCAGCAACGCCGCGUGCGGGAUGACGGCCUUCGGGUUGUAAACCACUUUCGCCUGUGACGAAGCGUGAGUGACGGUAAUGGGUAAAGAAGCACCGGCUAACUACGUG